RNAcentral lists this ribosomal RNA (430 nucleotides) under uncultured marine bacterium. Its description in RNAcentral is "bacterial SSU rRNA". It matches the Rfam family "Bacterial small subunit ribosomal RNA", at positions 8 to 430 of the family's 1533-position model. The record is from RNAcentral.
AGAGUUUGAUCCUGGCUCAGGAUGAACGCUAGCGGCAGGCUUAACACAUGCAAGUCGAGGGGUAACAGAGAAAAGCUUGCUUUUCUGCUGACGACCGGCGCACGGGUGCGUAACGCGUAUACAAUCUGCCUUAUACAGAGGGAUAGCCUUUAGAAAUGAAGAUUAAUACCUUAUAGUCUAUAUAUAUAGCAUUAUAUAAAUAGUAAAGCUUCGGUGGUAUAAGAUGAGUAUGCGUCCUAUUAGUUAGUUGGUGAGGUAACGGCUUACCAAGACAACGAUAGGUAGGGGCCCUGAGAGGGGGAUCCCCCACACUGGUACUGAGACGCGGACCAGACUCCUACGGGAGGCAGCAGUGAGGAAUAUUGGACAAUGGAGGCAACUCUGAUCCAGCCAUGCCGCGUGCAGGAAGACGGCCCUAUGGGUUGUAAAC